CGKGGGSSGGCCUWMMMAUGCAGUCGAGCGAAGGGAGUACUACGGUACGAACUUAGCGGCGGACGGGUGAGUAACGCGUGGACAAUCUACCCUGUAGACUGGGAUAACACCUCGAAAGGGGUGCUAAUACCGGAUAAUGUCGAGAAGCGGCAUCGCUUUUCGAAGAAAGGAGRGAAUCCGCUAUAGGAGGAGUCCGCGUCCCAUUAGCUAGUUGGUGAGGGUAACGGCCCACCAAGGCGACGAUGGGUAGCCGGCCUGAGAGGGUGAACGGCCACACUGGAACUGAGACACGGUCCAGACUCCUACGGGAGGCAGCAGUGGGGAAUAUUGUGCAAUGGGGGAAACCCUGACACAGCGACGCCGCGUGAGUGAAGAAGGCCUUCGGGUCGUAAAGCUCAAUAGUAUGGGAAGAAAGAAAUGACGGUACCAUACGAAAGCCCCGGCUAACUACGUGCCAGCAGCCGCGGUAAWUACKU
RNAcentral lists this ribosomal RNA (476 nucleotides) under Thermoanaerobacterium thermosaccharolyticum. RNAcentral describes it as "partial 16S ribosomal RNA". It matches the Rfam family "Bacterial small subunit ribosomal RNA", at positions 39 to 528 of the family's 1533-position model. The record is from RNAcentral. Lineage: Bacteria; Bacillati; Bacillota; Clostridia; Thermoanaerobacterales; Thermoanaerobacteraceae.